Molecule: ribosomal RNA, 433 nt
Filed under: uncultured bacterium
Lineage: Bacteria
Description: partial 16S ribosomal RNA
Rfam family: Bacterial small subunit ribosomal RNA
Source: RNAcentral
AACGAACGCUGGCGGCAUGCCUAACACAUGCAAGUCGAACGAGACCUUCGGGUCUAGUGGCGCACGGGUGCGUAACGCGUGGGAACCUGCCCUUAGGUUCGGAAUAACUCCCCGAAAGGGGUGCUAAUACCGGAUAAUGUCUUCGGACCAAAGAUUUAUCGCCUUUGGAUGGGCCCGCGUUGGAUUAGCUAGUUGGUAGGGUAAAAGCCUACCAAGGCGACGAUCCAUAGCUGGUCUGAGAGGAUGAUCAGCCACACUGGGACUGAGACACGGCCCAGACUCCUACGGGAGGGAGCAGUGGGGAAUAUUGGACAAUGGGCGAAAGCCUGAUCCAGCAAGGCCGCGUGAGUGAUGAAGGCCUUAGGGUUGUAAAGCUCUUUUACCCGGGAUGAUAAUGACAGUACCGGGAGAAUAAGCACCGGCUAACUCCGUG